GUGAACCUGCGGAAGGAUCAUUACAGAGCUUCUAAGCUUAAGGGGAUAAAACCUCUGAGCGAGAACUCCACCCUUUGUUUACAUACCUUUGUUGCUUUAGCAGGCCCGCUCUCGAGCCGCCGGCAAUAGCUGGUCCGCGCCUGCUAGAGGACCUAAAACUCAUGUUAAUAAUAUUGUCUGAGUACUAUAAUAAUAGUUAAAACUUUCAACAACGGAUCUCUUGGUUCUGGCAUCGAUGAAGAACGCAGCGAAAUGCGAUAAGUAAUGUGAAUUGCAGAAUUCAGUGAAUCAUCGAAUCUUUGAACGCACAUUGCGCCCUCUGGUAUUCCGGGGGGCAUGCCUGUUCGAGCGUCAUUACAACCCUCAAGCUCUGCUUGGUAUUAGGCUUCACCUGCUACAGGCGGGCCUCAAAAUCAGUGGCGGUGCCUUCUGGCUUCAAGCGUAGUAAUAUUUCUCGUUUGGGAGUACCGGUUGCGUACCUGCUAUAAAACCCCAAUUUUUAAAGGUUGACCUCGGAUCAGGUAGGGAUACCCGCUGAACUUAAGCAUAUCAAAAGGCGGGAGGAAA
Molecule: ribosomal RNA, 567 nt
Filed under: Leotiomycetes sp.
Lineage: Eukaryota; Fungi; Ascomycota; Leotiomycetes
Description: eukaryotic LSU rRNA
Rfam family: 5.8S ribosomal RNA (bases 201-354)
Source: RNAcentral